Molecule: ribosomal RNA, 668 nt
Filed under: uncultured equine intestinal eubacterium sp. DW10
Lineage: Bacteria
Description: bacterial SSU rRNA
Rfam family: Bacterial small subunit ribosomal RNA
Source: RNAcentral
GCACAGUAAACGAUGAAUACUUGCUCUUGGCGAUAUACAGUCAGGGGCAAAGCGAAAGCGAUAAGUAUUCCACCUGGGGAGUACGCCGGCAACGGUGAAACUCAAAGGAAUUGACGGGGGCCCGCACAAGCGGAGGAACAUGUGGUUUAAUUCGAUGCUACGCGAGGAACCUUACCCGGGCUUGAAAGUUACCGACGGAGGCUGAAAGGUCUCUUCCCUUCGGGGCGGGAAACUAGGUGCUGCAUGGUUGUCGUCAGCUCGUGCCGUGAGGUGUCGGCUUAAGUGCCAUAACGAGCGCAACCCUUUUCUCCAGUUGCCAUCAUUUGGUUGGGGACUCUGGAGACACUGCCAUCGUAAGAUGUGAGGAAGGAUGGGAUGACGUCAAAUCAGCACGGCCCUUACGUCCGGGGCGACACACGUGUUACAAUGGGCAGGACAGCGAGGAACGAUGCAGCGAUGCUGAGGGAAUCUCUAAACCUGCUCCCAGUUCGGAUUGGAGUCUGCAACCCGACUCCAUGAAGCUGGAUUCGCUAGUAAUCGCGCAUCAGCCAUGGCGCGGUGAAUACGUUCCCGGGCCUUGUACACACCGCCCGUCAAGCCAUGAAAGCCGGGGGUACCUGAAGUUUGGUGUAAGCAGCCGACCUAGGGUAAAACUGGUAAUUGGGGCU